Molecule: long non-coding RNA, 456 nt
Filed under: Medicago truncatula (barrel medic)
Lineage: Eukaryota; Viridiplantae; Streptophyta; Magnoliopsida; Fabales; Fabaceae
Description: long non-coding RNA (MTRU_LNC007983)
Source: RNAcentral
AAGAAAGAGGAAUUUGAAGGCCGAGUGGAAGAGUUUAAAUCACAAGAGAAGGACUUUGAAAGCCGAGUAAAGGGGUUUGAAUCAAAAGAGAAGGACUUUGAAAGCCGAGUGAGGAAGUUUGAAUCAGUAGAGAAGGACUUUGAAAGCCUAGUGAAGAAGUUUGAAUCAGUAGAGAAGGACUUUGAAAGCCGAGUGAGGAAGUUUGAAUCAGUAGAGAAGGACUUUGAAAGCCGAGUGAAGAAGUUUGAAUCAGUAGAGAAGGACUUUGAAAGCCGAGUGAGGAAGUUUGAAUCAGUAGAGAAGGACUUUGAAAUCCGAGUGAGGAAGUUUGAAUCAGUAGAGAAGGACUUUGAAAGCCGAGUUAGGAAGUUUGAAUCAGUAGAGAAGGACUUUGAAAGCCGAGUGAGGAAGUUUGAAUCAAAAGAAGAGGAACUUGAACUAAGAGACGGUCAAUAU